This 253-nucleotide ribosomal RNA is filed under the name uncultured bacterium. RNAcentral describes it as "partial 16S ribosomal RNA". It matches the Rfam family "Bacterial small subunit ribosomal RNA", at positions 524 to 776 of the family's 1533-position model. The record is from RNAcentral.
UACGGGGGGGGCAAGCGUUGUUCGGAAUUACUGGGCGUAAAGGGCUCGUAGGUGGCCAACUAAGUCAGACGUGAAAUCCCUCGGCUUAACCGGGGAACUGCGUCUGAUACUGGAUGGCUUGAGUUUGGGAGAGGGAUGCGGAAUUCCAGGUGUAGCGGUGAAAUGCGUAGAUAUCUGGAGGAACACCGGUGGCGAAGGCGGCAUCCUGGACCAACACUGACAUUGAGGAGCGAAAGCCAGGGGAGCAAACGGG